GCCGCUGUGGCGGAAUGGCAGACGCACUUGACUCAAAAUCAAGCGGGAAACCGUGCCGGUUCAAGUCCGGCCAGCGGCA
Molecule: transfer RNA, 79 nt
Filed under: Oribacterium parvum ACB1
Lineage: Bacteria; Bacillati; Bacillota; Clostridia; Lachnospirales; Lachnospiraceae
Also listed under: 7 other names
Description: Oribacterium sp. ACB1 tRNA
Rfam family: tRNA
About the family: Transfer RNA (tRNA) molecules are approximately 80 nucleotides in length. Their secondary structure includes four short double-helical elements and three loops (D, anti-codon, and T loops). Further hydrogen bonds mediate the characteristic L-shaped molecular structure. tRNAs have two regions of fundamental functional importance: the anti-codon, which is responsible for specific mRNA codon recognition, and the 3' end, to which the tRNAs corresponding amino acid is attached (by aminoacyl-tRNA synthetases). tRNAs cope with the degeneracy of the genetic code in two manners: having more than one tRNA (with a specific anti-codon) for a particular amino acid; and 'wobble' base-pairing, i.e. permitting non-standard base-pairing at the 3rd anti-codon position.
Source: Rfam by way of RNAcentral